GUCUGUCUGUAGAUGUAGACAGUCUAGCCUGCCCACUGAUAAAGUUUUUAAAGGGCCGCGGUAUUCUGACCGUGCAAAGGUAGCAUAAUCGUUAGUUUCUUAAUUGGGAUCUUGUAUGAAUGGCUGGACAAAAGAGGGUCUGUCUUUGUAGUUAAGAUAGAAGUUAACUUUUAAGUGAGAAGGCUUAAAUGAGUUAAAGGGACGAUAAGACCCUAUAAAGCUUUAUAUGAUGCUGUAGUAAUCUGAAUUUUUAAAGUAAUAAAGGGUUAUUACAAAAGUCUUAUUGCAUUGGGGCGAUGAAAGUAAAAUGAAUAGUAACUGCUUUAUUUUUGGACAAAGAAUAAGUGAUUAGAGGAGUAUUUAAAAGAUCCUCUUUGGGGAUUUUAAGAUCAAGUUACUUUAGGGAUAACAGCGUUAUUUUCUUUGAGAGUUCUUAUCGAAAAGAAAGUUUGCGACCUCGAUGUUGAAUUAAAAGUUCUUUAUAAUUGCAGAAGUUAUAAGAGAAGGUCUGUUCGACCUUUAAAUUUUUACAUGAUUUGAGUUCAGACCGGCGUAAG
RNAcentral lists this ribosomal RNA (557 nucleotides) under Grapsus grapsus. RNAcentral describes it as "partial 16S ribosomal RNA". It matches the Rfam family "Bacterial large subunit ribosomal RNA", at positions 1821 to 2625 of the family's 2925-position model. The record is from RNAcentral. Lineage: Eukaryota; Metazoa; Arthropoda; Malacostraca; Decapoda; Grapsidae.